GACGAACGCUGGCGGCGUGCUUAACACAUGCAAGUCGAACGGAAAGGCCCUGCUUUUGUGGGGUGCUCGAGUGGCGAACGGGUGAGUAACACGUGAGUAACCUGCCCUUGACUUUGGGAUAACUUCAGGAAACUGGGGCUAAUACCGGAUAGGAGCUCCUGCUGCAUGGUGGGGGUUGGAAAGUUUCGGCGGUUGGGGAUGGACUCGCGGCUUAUCAGCUUGUUGGUGGGGUAGUGGCUUACCAAGGCUUUGACCGGUAGCCGGCCUGAGAGGGUGACCGGCCACAUUGGGACUGGGAUAAGACCCGGCCUCCUACGGGAGGCAGCAGUGGAGAAUAGUGCACAAUGGGCGGAAGCCUGAUGCAGCAACGCCGCGUGCGGGAUGACGGCCUUCGGGUUGUAAACCGCUUUCGCCUGUGACGAAGCGUGAGUGACGGUAAUGGGUAAAGAAGCACCGGCUAACUACGUG
This 468-nucleotide ribosomal RNA is filed under the name uncultured bacterium. RNAcentral's name for it is "partial 16S ribosomal RNA". It matches the Rfam family "Bacterial small subunit ribosomal RNA", at positions 28 to 507 of the family's 1533-position model. The record is from RNAcentral.